CGGGCCGAAGCUUGGGCAAAAAAAUAAGUCUCGUUUAGAAAAUGGGCUGGGCCUUGAGUAAGGCUUUUUUUGCCCUAGCCCUACCCUGCCCAAGCCCGAAUAUGCAAAAAAAAUGAGUUUUUUUUUACUUUUUUAUUAUUUUCUUGCCAUUUUCUUGUUGUUGUUUUUUUUUAUUAUUUUACUACUAUUUCACAAUUAUGUUGCUAUUAUUUUAU
This 215-nucleotide long non-coding RNA is filed under the name Gossypium raimondii (Peruvian cotton). RNAcentral's name for it is "long non-coding RNA (GRAI_LNC001115)". The record is from RNAcentral. Lineage: Eukaryota; Viridiplantae; Streptophyta; Magnoliopsida; Malvales; Malvaceae.